Molecule: long non-coding RNA, 578 nt
Filed under: Physcomitrium patens
Lineage: Eukaryota; Viridiplantae; Streptophyta; Bryopsida; Funariales; Funariaceae
Description: long non-coding RNA (PPAT_LNC003333)
Source: RNAcentral
CAAGAAUCUAGCAAAUGCAUCAGUCAAAGUUAAAACUUUUCAUGAACAACAUAUAUCAAAAUCAAGAUGAAGAAUGAAGAAAUUCUUUGCUAUAAAGCAAAGCAAGCCUAAUAGAGAUUUCAUUCUGUCUUGUAUGAUUGUUUCUUUAGAUUUUUUAGUGCUUAAGAGGUAGAUAACCAACAACCAACAUAUUCAACUUAAGAGCUAUCAUUUGCUGAGCUAUCAAACAAGACAUUACAAUUAUCUCAACCUUUGAGAUGACAAAAUCAAGAUGAAGACCCUCAAGAAUGACAUAUUCUUCUUUGAAUAGAUGGCAAGAUACAAUACAUUUAAUACCAUGAUCUUGGAAGGGACUUCCGAUGUUUAGAGAUACUUUUGAAAGUAAGAACCACUCUUGAUGGUAUUACUAAUGUUUUAUUUGAAAGAAGUUAUGAAGGCCUCAAUAAUGAUCAAAUAUUAGGGCGGUCUUCUCGCCUUGGUAUGAGACAUUAUUGAUGGUUGAAGGAAACAAAGAUCAGAGUAUGUGGCAAAUAUAGUUUGGCGCAUCUUAGACUUCAUCAAUAUGUAAUCAACGCUAC